RNAcentral lists this ribosomal RNA (253 nucleotides) under uncultured bacterium. RNAcentral's name for it is "partial 16S ribosomal RNA". It matches the Rfam family "Bacterial small subunit ribosomal RNA", at positions 524 to 776 of the family's 1533-position model. The record is from RNAcentral.
UACGUAGGGGGCAAGCGUUAUCCGGAUUUACUGGGUGUAAAGGGAGCGUAGACGGCUUUGCAAGCCAGAUGUGAAAGCCCGGGGCUCAACCUCGGGACUGCAUUUGGAACUGUAUGGCUGGAGUAUCGGAGAGGCAGGCGGAAUUCCUAGUGUAGCGGUUAAAUGCGUAAAUAUUAGGAGGAACACCAGUGGCGAAGGCGGCCUGCUGGGCUUUAACUGACGCUGAGGCUCGAAAGUGUGGGUAUCAAACAGG